CAUGUCCAUACGACGAGGAUAACGGCUGGAAACGGCUGCUAAGACUGGAUAGGAAUAUAAAAGGCAUCUUUAAUAUUUUAAAGGACCUAAGGGUAUGCGUAUGGGGUGACUUGCGGCGCAUUAGCUAGUUGGUGGGGUAGAAGCCUACCAAGGCGAUGAUGCGUAGCCGGACUGAGAGGUUGAACGGCCACAUUGGGACUGAGACACGGCCCAGACUCCUACGGGAGGCAGCAGUAGGGAAUUUUCGGCAAUGGGGGGAACCCUGACCGAGCAAUGCCGCGUGAAUGAAGAAAUACUUAGGUAUGUAAAGUUCUUUUAUUGGGGAAGAAUGUUUUGUGUAGAACAAGAGUGACGGUACCCAUUGAAUAAGCCCCGGCUAACUAUGUGCCAGCAGCCGCGGUAAUACAUAGGGGGCAAGCGUUAUCCGGAAUUAUUGGGCAUAAAGGGUGCGUAGGCGGCAUGUUAAGUUUAAGGUAUAAGCUCAUGGCUCAACCAUGGGAGGCUUUAAAAACUGGCAUGCUAAAGUGCAGUAAAGGCAAGUGGAAUUCCAUGUGUAGCGGUAAAAUGCGUAAAUAUAUGGAGGAACACCAGUGGCGAAGGCGGGUUGCUG
This 610-nucleotide ribosomal RNA is filed under the name uncultured bacterium. RNAcentral's name for it is "bacterial SSU rRNA". It matches the Rfam family "Bacterial small subunit ribosomal RNA", at positions 125 to 731 of the family's 1533-position model. The record is from RNAcentral.